UCUUUAUCUAAAUGAUCUUAAUCAGAAGCCGUGAGUCAAAGAGAAAGGAAUAGCCCUACAGAGAAGUACUAAAGGCGAAGAUAGAGAUAAAAAAUAUGGUUAUUUAAAAAUGUUAUCCCAUCCUGUACAAGUCAGUGCAGGAUGAGAAAGACCUGACUUGUGUGGAUACUUUCUAUGAAAAUAACUUGAGGGGUCUGAGUUGCCCACAAAUCUAAUAUGAUAGCACACAUUAUAGAAAUUUCUAACAAACUAGCCUCAUUUUGUCUCUUUUUCUCUUUAGUAAAGCACAGUGGAGCAAUUCUUUUCCCUGUUUGAAUGAAAUCUUGGUCCAGCUUAUAACUUCACUAGUUACACUUAGCUGGUCAUCCUGCAGUCACUUUAAAUCACAAACACCAUCUAAUUUAUAAUGUAAAACAUCCAUUAUUGUGUUAUAAUCAACAGUUGGAGCCUGAUUUAAAGUGGAAACACUCCUGCCUCCUCACUUCCAAUGGCCGGAGCCUGUCUUUGGUAGGCUGUUUGCAGCAGGAAAGAGAAGCAAAAGAAGGAAGAGUCAUGGAAGGAGAUAAGGAUCCUUGUGAGGCUCAAAUGAGACAACAAGUGGACAUAACAAAAGCAGAGCUGAUGUAAUUAAUGAAAAAAAGAUGGCUAUUUGAAAUAGUGAAGGCUAUGAACAACAGGAUGGAAUGGAAAUGAAGUCCACAUUUAGGGACAAUUCAUUAUUUAUCUGCUGUACUUUUUAUGCACACCGUGUUCUGCUAAUUCUCUCUCCUGGGAGAAGACCAAACCCGGUUAGUAAGUGAUACAAGCAUGAGUAGUUAGAAGCUAUGGUAUAAACCGCGGGCAGAUGGAGCUAUUCCUUGAAUAUCAAUUAGCAUAGUCCAACCAACUUGAAGACUCUUAGAAUUGAAUACUUCAACUUAAUGGAUCUGUUUUCAAAUUCCCUUUAAUGGCCCUUCUGUGACCAUAAUAUCUACUUUUCCAGACAUCCUAAGUAGAAACUAUUAUGGACAAUGUAUGUCAAAUUCCCUAAGGAUAGCAUAUGGAGGGGAGAAUGUGAGUUGCCAAAUUUAGCAGCUCUGGAGAGAGUGUUUUUGAAUUAAACUUGAAUCUAUGGGGAUUACAGUUCAUUUAUGACUGACAAAACAUAUCUUCCCAAUUCUGAAAGAUAAAUCCCACCGAUAUACAUGUGGAUUUCACAGGGUUUCUCAAAAACUAGAAGGAAAAAAAAAACCCUUUCCACAAAAUGCAGUUUUAUAACGAUUUUGGAUUUAUGAUGUCACAUGUUCUUUUUGCAGCUUUCCUCGGGUUAAAUGAGGAAUUUUCUAAGUACUGUGCCAACUGUACUUACCACCUGAGGAAGCUCAAAUCGGAAGAUUCAUCCCUUACAUAUUAGAAUAAGAGCUCUGCUUUUGAAAGAAGAGAAUUGAACACUGAAAUGCAGUGGC
Long non-coding RNA from Sapajus apella (tufted capuchin), 1445 nucleotides. RefSeq lists it as uncharacterized. The record is from RefSeq and is a predicted model, not a curated record. NCBI's taxonomy places the organism in Eukaryota, Metazoa, Chordata, Mammalia, Primates, Cebidae. The transcript is spliced from 3 exons.